Molecule: ribosomal RNA, 207 nt
Filed under: uncultured bacterium
Lineage: Bacteria
Description: partial 16S ribosomal RNA
Rfam family: Bacterial small subunit ribosomal RNA
Source: RNAcentral
CGCGUAGGCGGAUUGCACAGUCGGGCGUGAAAUUCCUGGGCUUAACCUGGGGGCUGCGUUCGAGACGUGUGGUCUGGAGUGCGGAAGAGGGUCGUGGAAUUCCCAGUGUAGAGGUGAAAUUCGUAGAUAUUGGGAAGAACACCGGUGGCGAAGGCGGCGACCUGGUCCGUGACUGACGCUGAGGCGCGAAAGCGUGGGGAGCAAACA